Molecule: ribosomal RNA, 420 nt
Filed under: Fusobacteriota bacterium
Lineage: Bacteria; Fusobacteriati; Fusobacteriota
Description: Fusobacteria bacterium partial 16S ribosomal RNA
Rfam family: Bacterial small subunit ribosomal RNA
Source: RNAcentral
UGGGGGAUAUUGCACAAUGGGCGAAAGCCUGAUGCAGCGACGCCGCGUGGGGGAUGAAGGCCUUCGGGUUGUAAACUUCUUUUGCUCUGAACAAGGCAUGCCUUUGGGGUGUGUUGAGUGUAGGGGUUGAUUAGCGCCGGCUAACUACGUGCCAGCAGCCGCGGUAAUACGUAGGGCGCGAGCGUUGUCCGGAAUUAUUGGGCGUAAAGGGCUUGUAGGUGGCUGGUUGCGUCUGUCGUGAAAGCUCAUGGCUUAACUGUGGGUUUGCGGUGGGUACGGGCUGGCUUGAGUGCAGUAGGGGAGGCUGGAAUGCCUGGUGUAGCGGUGGAAUGCGCAGAUAUCAGGAGGAAUACCGGUGGCGAAGGCGGGUCUCUGGGCUGUUACUGACGCUGAGGAGCGAAAGCGUGGGGAGCGAACAGG